Molecule: unclassified non-coding RNA, 332 nt
Filed under: soil metagenome
Description: partial contains 5.8S ribosomal RNA, internal transcribed spacer 2, and large subunit ribosomal RNA
Rfam family: 5.8S ribosomal RNA (bases 1-120)
Source: RNAcentral
GAUGAAGAACGCAGCGAAAUGCGAUAAGUAGUGUGACUUGCAGAAUUCAGUGAAUCAUCGAAUCUUUGAACGCACAUUGCGCCCUUUGGUAUUCCUUAGGGCAUGCCUGUUCGAGCGUCAUUUAAACCUUCAAGCUCAGCUUGGUGUUGGGUGACUGUCCGCUUCACCGCGGACUCGCCUCAAAAUUAUUGGCGGCCGGUACAUUGGCUUCGAGCGCAGCAGAAACGCGAACUCGGGCCCGUCGUAUUGGCUCCCAGAAGCUAUCUUCACAAUUUUGACCUCGGAUCAGGUAGGGAUACCCGCUGAACUUAAGCAUAUCAAUAAGCGGAGGA